CCGCCGUGCGUCAUUGUCCGGGCGUAGCCCCGCCUCCGCCGCGCUGCCCGUUAUCCGGGCCGCGGCAAGGGAGCAGGCCCCGCAGUGCCGCCGCGCUCCCUGGGUGGCGCCCAGGAGGGACAGCGCGAUCGCGGGCUGAGUGCGGGGCGGGCCGCCGGAUGGGGUGCGGGGGCGGCGCGCCCCGUCACACUUGGUCAUCUGGGCAGUCAGACGUAUCAAGAUGAUCUCGCAAGCGCCACUCAUCUGGCUGUUGGUGCUCUGGGUCCAGGAUGCCAAAGGACAGCUUGUGCUGACGCAGACUCCAGAAUCCCUAGCAGUGUCUCCUGGAGACACAGUCACUAUAUGCUGCAAAGCCAGUUCCAGUGUUGCCAGCUUGAUGGCCCGGUACCAACAGAAAUCAGGACAAGCUCCUAAACUCCUCAUUCACAGCCCUUCCAGCCGUCCCUCUGGGAUCCCAGACCGGUUCACAAGCAGUGGGUCAGCCGAGUAGAAACUGAUGAUGCUGGAGAUUAUUUCUGUCAAAUUGGGAGCUCACAGUGAUACAGACCAAUACAGAAACCUCCCUGCUGCCUUCAGUUUCUGUUCCUCAUUGUAACAACUAUUUUCCUGCAGCCAGACAGUGUUACACCAGCUGAGGCU
Molecule: non-coding RNA, 639 nt
Organism: Pelodiscus sinensis (Chinese soft-shelled turtle)
Lineage: Eukaryota; Metazoa; Chordata; Testudines; Trionychidae
Source: the annotation of a RefSeq genome assembly